UAAAACCCCACGUCGCCCCUAAAACCCCACGUCGCCCUUAAAACCCCACGUCGCCCUUAAAACCCCACGUCGCCCCUAAACCCCACGUCGCCCCUAAAACCCCACGUCGCCAUUAAAACCCCACGUCGCCACUGAACCAAACACAACAAGUCCCCUAUGAAACCAAACAGAGCGUAGCCACUACGGAUGUUGAUGGCAGUCAUCUAUCAUACACUAGAUGAAGGGGGCCCCAUUUUAAUCCAGUCUUAGAAGGCAGCAUGAUUCAUCUGUGCACAGAUAAGCCAAGCAGCUAGCGUUUGAUCACCAGGCGUUGUGUGUGCUCUGCAGACAGCCCAGGUGACCCCACGAUUAGAAAUAGAACUAUGUACCCAUGGGAUUGCUGUUGACCGUUGUUCAAAAAUGUAUCAAUGGGAAAUGUAAGGUUAAUUAAUAUUGUACAUUCCUCUAAUUAUCUUCUUCGAUGAACACUCUGAUCAAUCAAUGGCACAAAUAAUAGAUUUUAUUUCCGUGAAUUGUCAAGUUUGAAAAAAAAAUGACUUUAUUUUCAUGGUUGAAAUAUUUGUAUGAUAGUGUGAGAUUUGUCUAAAUAAUUGUGAUUAUGUGGAUAUAAUGUAGUGUACAAAAUGAAACUCGUUUUUUAAAAAAUGCAAUAGCAGACUUAAACCACAGGGUGGCACUGUUGGCCACCAGAGGAGUACCUGACAGUAUCCGUGUGUUUCCUGCCUCACCCUGAAGACAGUGAUGAUACACACAGAGCACGCUGUGGCUCUUCUAAAAAAAAUACUCUACUACAUUACUCUGAUCUGAAAGAAAUGACAAGGUGGGUGGCUGGAUCCAAUCUGAAUCGACAAAGUAGCGCGGAACAUUCACUUUAUUGCUUGAUUGAAAUUGAAUGGCAACGUUCCCGCAUUCAUGGAGACUGCUGCAUUCACGGCAAACACUGCAUACAUGUAUGUCGGCUCAAUUGGAAAAUGACUCUAAACUUUUAACACAGAUCUGCUGCGAUACUUCCGCGAUGCAGAUUGAAUCCGGAUCUAUGGCAAAGUACUUUCUAAACAGUCCAGAUGAAGGAAAGAUGAUUAUGAGAGAACAGAUUUUUAAGUGACUGAGAAUGAGAUAGAGUCAACGUGUUUCUGGCAGCCAACCCGGAUAUGAUUUAUAAUGUUUGUUACAGGCUUUGACCAACCCAGAUAUGAUUUAUAAUGUUUGUUACAGGCUUUGACCAACCCAGAUAUGAUUUAUAAUGUUUGUUACAGGCUUUGACCAACCCAGAUAUGAUUUAUAAUGUUUGUUACAGGCUUUGACCAACCCAGAUAUGAUUUAUAAUGUUUGUUACAGGCUUUGACCAACCCAGAUAUGAUUUAUAAUGUUUGUUACAGGCUUUGACCAACCCAGAUAUGAUUUAUAAUGUUUGUUACAGGCUUUGGCCAACCCAGAUAUGAUUUAUAAUGUUUGUUACAGGCUUUGACCAACCCAGAUAUGAUUUAUAAUGUUUGUUACAGGCUUUGACCAACCCAGAUAUGAUUUAUAAUGUUUGUUACAGGCUUUGACCAACCCAGAUAUGCUGUAUAAUGUUUGUUACAGGCUUUGGCCAACCUGUUGUCAUUGCCUGAACAGCAUCUCUGUGUCUGUCUGUUAGCCUUUUGUUAAAGUCGUCUUUAUGGAGACAUUAUGUAGAGUUGCUAUGUAGCCCGUGAGCACUGUACCGCAGGUAGAGACCCUGGAGUUGAACAUCUGAUCAAACAGAAAACCAGCGACAGAACAUGUCUUGUCUGUCUCAGUGGUGCAAAAUUCUGGUUAACUUGAACAAAAUUCCCCAGGUUUUUCAGAAUACGGUUUGGAGGAUUCCCGUAUUGCCUGGUUUUUCUUCACUUCAUUCCGGGGAUUCCCGUAUUGCCUAGUUUUUCUUCACUUCAUGGGGAAAUGUUUCAACCCUAGAAGUGAUAGAUCUCCAAUGGUGGCAGCCAAUACACAAUACCCAGCACAGGAUAUAAAGUCCAGGCACAAACAGAGAACGCCUCUAUAGAUUUCAGUAAAGCACAGCAAUAAAGAGCACAUCUGAAGCACAACUGUGGAAGCACAAAGGAAGUGAGAUAACAGAAUAGAUUAUUUGCAUUGUUACCAACAAAUAGAGCACAGCAUUUACUCAUAGCAUUGUAUUGACUGGUGGAUCACAACCACAGGUUGCUAGGGACUAAAUGGUCAUGUUGGAAGACGAGCAAGCAGAUCUCUUAGCUACAUACCCAUACAGGCUACAGUACGCGUAUGGGCUAAUGUGUACAGCAGCAACUCACAGGUUGUAUGCCAAAUGGCAUUCUGUUCCCUAUAUAAUGCAUUUGGGACGUAAACACAGGAAACCUAAACUCUUUCUCCCUUUAAAAAAGCCAUGCUACGGAUUGUAUAGCACUUAAACAGACUAACAUGGUUCAUUAAUUAAUUAUACUAAAAGAUCAUAGAGGAAAUGAUUACCAAUUAGAGAGCUAGAAUCACUUGAACUAUUAUUGAUGGAAGGAGAAAGAGAGAGAUUGAGAGAGAGGGAGAGAGAGAUAGAGGGAGAGAGAUGAGUGAGAGAGAAAGAGAGAUUGAGAGAGAGAGAGAAAGAUUGAGAGAGAGGGAGAGCGAUGAGGGAGAGAGAGAAAGCCCCGGAGAGGAGGUAGAGAGAGAGAGAGAUGAGAGAGAGAGACCCAGAGAGGAGGUAGAGAGAGAGAUGAGAGAGAGACCCAGAGAGAAGGAGGUAGAGAGAGAGAGAGAGAUAUAUACAGAGAGGAACAGUCUAAAAUGAUACAAAAGGCACACAAAGUGGACAGAGACUAGAAGGUGUAUAUUGCACAUUGCCUUUAAUCAUUCAUUUGCCUAAAAUGACGUUAAAUUCCCUAAAUCACUUAUUGAGGUAAUGUGAUGUCAACUCCAGGGCCUGUAUGUAUUAUCACUGUCUCAUUACUGCCUUGUACAAGUACAAUAUAUUCAUCCUGUGUAGACUAACUCAAUUUCUCUCAAAUUACAGUGAUAGUGUAUUUAUAUAACAGUGAUAAUAUGCUUUAUUCUGUGAAAGAUCAAUAACCGAACUACAGUACUUAGUGGGGGAAGUGUAGGAUUCUACAACGUGAUGUUAGCUCACCCUGGUAGUGGUGUAGAUGCACCAUUCACUUCCAUUGAUUGUUAGCUAGCGGUGGCUAAAAGUAGCUAACGUUUGUAGAUUCUGUUUGGAGAAAACCGCUCCGUUAGGUACAGUUUCUCCUGGCCCGUAAUACGAAACCAUUUAACAUCAAACUGUAAAAUCCCCUAACUUCCCCUUUUUUUUCUGUAUAUUUACUCUGUAGAUGUUGAUGUACAUUCUGUCAAAUUGAAAAUGAAUAUAUCUAUCUAUAAAUAUAGUAGGAGUGACAGGGUGAAUACUUGAGCUGUAUAUAAUAAUUGUAUAUUUUUAGAUAUUUCCGAUUUUUCCGAUUUUUGUACGUAAUGUACCCUUAUUGUGUCUGUAGAUUUACGAUGUAAAUAUAUUAUUAGUGUGAGAUUGUUGUUCUCAAUCAAAAUAACUGGAGAGACUGUACCUUGAUGUGUGUGUGUGUGUGUGUGUGUGUGUGUGAGUAUGCGGCGCGUGUGUGUGUGCAUGUGUGAGUAUGCGGCGCGUGUGUGUGUGCAUGUGCGUGUGUGUGUGAGUAUGCGGCGCGUGUGUGUGUGUGCAUGUGCAUAUAUGCGGCAUGUGUGUGUGUGAGUAUGCGGCGCGUGUGUGCGUGUUUGUGUGUGAAUACGUGCGUGCGCGCGUGUGUGUGUACAUGUAGAUGUCAUGUACAUGUUGUUAAAACUAAUUGUGUGUUUCUUGAUUUCCACCUUCAGUGAUUUCAGCUUUACUAACUGUAGUCAAGUAGACGUGAACUCAGUUGUAAUGAUGUUAAGCAACCUAUCAGUGUUAUGUGUCUCUUCAGUUGCUCUUCAGGUCAACUUUCUGACCCCACAGAAACGGCAACAUUAACAUGGUCCCACCCCACCAAAAAAUACUGUGUGACAAUUCAUGAGCAUUAGUACUGUAGAAAUCUAUCUUUUUGUCUUAGACAAAAUGGAAAUAAAAGUUACCACUUGUAUGAACCACGUUAUACAGUGUGUAGGUAGUGUCAUUUAUUUUAUAGUAUAGAUAUUUCAUUUGA
RNAcentral lists this long non-coding RNA (4145 nucleotides) under Salmo salar (Atlantic salmon). RNAcentral's name for it is "lncRNA (ENSSSAG00000082973.1)". Lineage: Eukaryota; Metazoa; Chordata; Actinopteri; Salmoniformes; Salmonidae. The record is from RNAcentral.